AGGACGAACGCUGGCGGCGUGCUUAACACAUGCAAGUCGAGCGGUAAGGCCUCUUCGGGGGUACACGAGCGGCGAACGGGUGAGUAACACGUGAGUAAUCUGCCCUUCACUUCGGGAUAAGCUUCGGAAACGGGGUCUAAUACCGGAUACGACACUUUCAGGCAUCUGAUGAGUGUGGAAAGUUUUUUCGGUGGGGGAUGUGCUCGCGGCCUAUCAGCUUGUUGGUGGGGUAAUGGCCUACCAAGGCUUCGACGGGUAGCCGGCCUGAGAGGGUGACCGGCCACACUGGGACUGAGACACGGCCCAGACUCCUACGGGAGGCAGCAGUGGGGAAUAUUGGACAAUGGGCGGAAGCCCUGAUCCAGCAACGCCGCGUGAGGGAUUGACGGCCUUCGGGUGGUAAACCUCUUUCAGUACCGACGAAGC
RNAcentral lists this ribosomal RNA (426 nucleotides) under uncultured Nocardioides sp. RNAcentral describes it as "bacterial SSU rRNA". It matches the Rfam family "Bacterial small subunit ribosomal RNA", at positions 26 to 451 of the family's 1533-position model. Lineage: Bacteria; Bacillati; Actinomycetota; Actinomycetes; Propionibacteriales; Nocardioidaceae. The record is from RNAcentral.